RNAcentral lists this ribosomal RNA (428 nucleotides) under uncultured bacterium. Its description in RNAcentral is "bacterial SSU rRNA". It matches the Rfam family "Bacterial small subunit ribosomal RNA", at positions 355 to 776 of the family's 1533-position model. The record is from RNAcentral.
UGGGGAAUAUUGGACAAUGGGCGCAAGCCUGAUCCAGCCACGCCGCGUGAGUGAUGAAGGCCUUCGGGUCGUAAAGCUCUGUGGGGAGGGACGAACCGCUGGAGGUUAAUAGCUUCCAGCAUGACGGUACCUCCUUAGCAAGCACCGGCUAACUUCGUGCCAGCAGCCGCGGUAAUACGAAGGGUGCAAACGUUGCUCGGAAUUAUUGGGCGUAAAGCGCACGUAGGCGGCUUAGCAAGUCGGAAGUGAAAUCCCACGGCUCAACCAUGGAAGUGCUUUCGAAACUGCUGAGCUUGAGUACAAAAGAGGAUCGCGGAAUUCCCGGUGUAGAGGUGAAAUUCGUAGAUAUCGGGAGGAACACCAGUGGCGAAGGCGGCGAUCUGGGUUGAUACUGACGCUGAGGUGCGAAAGCGUGGGGAGCAAACAGG